AGCCAUCAUUGCAACAUGGACCAUUAAUUUAGAUCUAAAAAAAUCAAAAGCGAAGGGUUUCUUCGAGGAGAAGGAGGAUGCGUAGCUUAGGAUCGAAGUUUUAAUAUAAAAUUUUAAAUUCUCAGUUAGUUGAUCCCUUACGAUCGAGGCAGAGUGGGCCCUUUUUAUUCGGAAGAUCGCACAAUCCUAUAUUUCGGAUGCGCUAAAGCAACUUUGGAGGCUCGCUUACCCUAAUCGAGCAAUUCCUCCUCUCAAAUCAGAAUUGUGGAAGGAGAUGGGUUGGCAAGGUACAGACCCAUCCUUGGAUUUCAGGGGUGGUGGAUUUGUAUCGCUGGAGAACCUCAUCUUUUUCGCACAGAACUACCCAGAUUCAUUUCAGAUGCUAUUGCACAAACAGGAAGGGCAGAGAGCCGAAUGGGAGUACCCUUUUGCCGUUGCCGGUGUUAAUAUAUCGUUCAUGUUAUUAAAGAUCAUACUGCGAAAGAAAAACUAAGAGCAUUCAUCAUACUGCCAAAGAAAAACUAAAAACUUGCAUAAUAUCCAAGAGCUGAUGAAUGCUAUUUUUCUAUUUUUAUUGCUUGCAGACUUUGCUAGAAUAAUUGACAUAUAAGUGGAAUAUUCUAGACAA
Molecule: long non-coding RNA, 628 nt
Organism: Ananas comosus (pineapple)
Lineage: Eukaryota; Viridiplantae; Streptophyta; Magnoliopsida; Poales; Bromeliaceae
Exons: 4
Source: RefSeq, a predicted model, not a curated record